Thiotrichales bacterium SG8_50 is the source of this 74-nucleotide non-coding RNA. The record is from Rfam. Lineage: Bacteria; Pseudomonadati; Pseudomonadota; Gammaproteobacteria; Thiotrichales.
GCGCCCGUAGCUCAGCUGGAUAGAGUACUGCCCUCCGAAGGCAGGGGUCACAGGUUCGAAUCCUGUCGGGCGCG